Long non-coding RNA from Clupea harengus (Atlantic herring), 746 nucleotides. RefSeq lists it as uncharacterized. Lineage: Eukaryota; Metazoa; Chordata; Actinopteri; Clupeiformes; Clupeidae. The record is from RefSeq and is a predicted model, not a curated record.
UACAGCUCUUUCAGUGGCAUUUACUGCAGUGGAGUCGGCUGAUUAGACAGGAACCACCGGCUCCCUCUGCAUUAUAAACACACAGGCCACAGCCGACAUCACUCAUCCCCACAAAACACACAUCCGCUCGUGGGGACCGAGGACACAACCAGGAUCAGAGCAGAUAGGCUCAGUUAAACCCCUAUUGAUUACCCAGAGGGAGACAGUGAUUGGCUGUGACUGGACAGCAACCCGCUGACCCAAAGUACAUCAAAGGCGGACGUUCUGAUGGAAGCCCGGAGGCCCCAUCAAUCAAAGCCUAAUGCCAGGGGUGACAUCAGCACGACGCCACAGUCACGUCAGACUCCAGUGACGGAGGAUGCUGCGCCAGCAGUUUCAGCAAUAUUGUAAAGACCGUUGACACACACACACACUGUACUCAGACACUGAGUGGGAGGGGCAGAAGGGAAGUAGGAAAGGACUCCGAUCCUUUUCCUGUCUCAAUUUUUAAAAUGAAGUGAGAUAAUAGAAAGUCAAGGAGAACACAGAUCAAGCAGCACUUGGCUCUCUGCGUUUCAGUUAGCAUAAUGGAAUAUUAAAAAAAGCCGCAACGGAAAAUGUUUAAGUGGAACCCAGAAGAUGUUGACUUCCAAGCAGAGACACACAGUGCAGUGCCAAGCAGCAGCCAUUUGGUCUAAUUGACACGGGCUGAUUACUCCAAGUCCCUAGAGACAGGAAAUGGUGGGGCACGACUGGCAUUCUGGGCC